This 80-nucleotide non-coding RNA is filed under the name Helianthus annuus (common sunflower). Its description in RNAcentral is "sRNA HanXRQr2_Chr04g0170581". It matches the Rfam family "Eukaryotic large subunit ribosomal RNA", at positions 24 to 103 of the family's 3401-position model. The record is from Rfam by way of RNAcentral. Lineage: Eukaryota; Viridiplantae; Streptophyta; Magnoliopsida; Asterales; Asteraceae.
CCCGCUGAGUUUAAGCAUAUCAAUAAGUGGAGGAAAAGAAACUUACUAGGAUUCCCUUAGUAACGGCGAGCGAACCGGGA